UACGUAGGUGGCAAGCGUUGUCCGGAAUUAUUGGGCGUAAAGCGCGCGCAGGCGGUCCUUUAAGUCUGAUGUGAAAGCCCACGGCUCAACCGUGGAGGAUCAUUGGAAACUGGGGGACUUGAGUGCAGAAGAGGAAAGCGGAAUUCCACGUGUAGCGGUGAAAUGCGUAGAGAUGUGGAGGAACACCAGUGGCGAAGGCGGCUUUCUGGUCUGUAACUGACGCUGAGGCGCGAAAGCGUGGGGAGCAAACAGG
This 253-nucleotide ribosomal RNA is filed under the name uncultured bacterium. RNAcentral's name for it is "partial 16S ribosomal RNA". It matches the Rfam family "Bacterial small subunit ribosomal RNA", at positions 524 to 776 of the family's 1533-position model. The record is from RNAcentral.